AAAGAGGUGACUGCUUCCUGUGGUACAGCCUCUGUCACCAAGACAGGGGUAUUCUGACUUUUUUCAACAAUUUACUUUGAAUAGAUAUAGUAAUGGGGACGUCCAGCCACAAAUUUCCUUUCAUUUGGAGCUCUGAAGGUAUCAAUGACAUCUUACCACCACAGGAGCCAGGAAGCAGUAGUGAUGUGGCUGUCACUGCACAAACUUGACCGUUGGUGUUCAUAUUUUUACUAUUUCAUUUGAGAUAUGAGCACUGUUGAUAAUUGCCAUGUGAAAUGUCUUCAAAAAGUUUUCCCAAUAAUUUGGCAUUGAAAUAAGGUUAUUGUGGACGCAGGCAUACAUGGAAAUAGAUCAGCAGGACACAUAUUUAUGUGAGUGAUGUACAUUUUGAUAUUAGACAAAGAACUACAGUUCCAUAUUUUCUUGCAAAGCAGCUACUGAAUACAUUACUGGAUCUAAGAAAGGAAUAUAUCCGCAAGUAGAUUAAGCUGUGUUACAUUUUGUUCCUGAGAUGCAUGAAAAAGGAUUACCCAUCACACACUAAGCAAAGCAAUUGAAGAAAGGAAAAAUUGCCAAAUCCCUUGGAACAGAUAGAAGAAGUUUCAAAGC
Molecule: long non-coding RNA, 609 nt
Filed under: Equus caballus (horse)
Lineage: Eukaryota; Metazoa; Chordata; Mammalia; Perissodactyla; Equidae
Description: lncRNA (ENSECAG00000044992.1)
Source: RNAcentral